This 253-nucleotide ribosomal RNA is filed under the name uncultured bacterium. RNAcentral describes it as "partial 16S ribosomal RNA". It matches the Rfam family "Bacterial small subunit ribosomal RNA", at positions 524 to 776 of the family's 1533-position model. The record is from RNAcentral.
GACGAAGGACCCAAGCGUUAUCCGGAUUCAUUGGGUUUAAAGGGUGCGUAGGCGGAUUGAUAAGUCAGUGGUGAAAUCUCCGGGCUCAACCCGGAAACUGCCAUUGAUACUGUCGAUCUUGAAUAUGGUUGAUGUGGGCGGAAUAUGACAUGUAGCGGUGAAAUGCUUAGAUAUGUCAUAGAACACCGAUUGCGAAGGCAGCUCACAAAGCCAUUAUUGACGCUGAGGCACGAAAGUGCGGGGAUCAAACAGG